RNAcentral lists this long non-coding RNA (2318 nucleotides) under Homo sapiens (human). Its description in RNAcentral is "non-protein coding CTBP1-DT:26". Lineage: Eukaryota; Metazoa; Chordata; Mammalia; Primates; Hominidae. The record is from RNAcentral.
UCCCCAGGCGGGGGAGCCCCGACUCCUGGAGGGACCGCGUCCUGCCCGGCCCGGGAAGUUCAGGGCUGGAGAACCCCUUCCCCGACCCCAUUUCUCUUUUAACAAGAGUAGGGUUUGUAGCUAACCAACGUCCUGACAGCUCAGCUCUGCUUUCCCUUUAAGCAUUAAUAUCAAAGCCCUGCCUGCUACCGGUGAAGCCCCGACCCGGGAGGGCCCGAAAGUCCCUUCAGGGAGAGGCCGCACUGGGCCUGCUCACCCAGGGGCUGCCCCUGCAGACUCUCCCGAGGGGCCCAGGGAUAUUCCUCGCGCCGCGAGUGGACGCUUCCAUCCACCCCAUGGGGAGGGCCUCUGCGCGUGGCUACUCUGAGCCCUCUGGAAUGCCGAGAUAGUUGCAUAAUUUCAGAAACCACGGCAUGGAGACGGAAUGAUGCAGACUCCUAUCCGCGAGAUACCUGCUGUAAUUUCGCUGUGGUUCGUGAGGACGCGUCCUGGGCUGCCCUGAGAAGCCUACGUCUCCCCUUCGAGGCCCGGGAAGACCUCCAACCCCGCUGACAAUGCUGGGCCCUCAGCCAGACCUGCCCUGCGUGCCACGUUCUGUUCUAAGAUCGGGCUGCCGAGCUGUGGCCUGGAGGAAACCUGGCAGGUGGGGCUGCCAUGAGCAGCAAGCUCAGUCCAGAAGAACAGUUCCUCUCCAGGAUCCACUUCCUGCGCACUUUUAUGUGCAGUGUAGCUGGAGCAGAGCUCCCCGGAAUUCCACAGGCAACUGAGAACGGAGAGGGAUGCAGGCCAGCCAGGGAUCCAGCGUCUUCCCCAUCGUCACUCUCCAUGGCCUCCGUCUACACACAGUGUUCGUCUGCACAGCUUGUCAGCGCGUUAUCAUGACUUCUAUUUGGCACCGGCCCGUCUGUCCACUGUCCUGGCUUGUUCCAAGCGCUGCCUUCUCCAACUGGGGUCCUGGCUGCAGAGCUGUCUGCUCCCCACGUUGGGCAACUCCAGCCAAGAUUCCUACACCCAAAUGUGACCGUGUUGCUCACGAAGAAGGCUCAGCUUUGCGUGUGCCCAGCCGUGUGCACAGCUCGUCCCAACUCCUGCGGGUGGCACCUGCCUCUCCCACCUCCAGUCUUUCCCCUGUGAUGAGCAGAUGACCACCGCCCUCCAGGGUCAGCGUUUGGCUGUUUGUGUGCCUGCCCACCCGCCUCCCUGUGCCUGGGCCUGCCCUGUGCCUGCACACAGGAGUGGCUCAUGGCGUUUGCCCUACACGGAUGGGCUGUCCUGGGAGCUACUGGACAGUCACCUUGGUGGGAAUGCCAGAGGCAUGGGCAUUAGGUCCCCCCGGCCAGCCUCCGUUGCCACAUGGGCUAUUUUUGUCCAUCGCGUGGGACAACCUAGUAUUGGGGGAAAACUCAGUCCACUCUAAAGAAGCAUCGGCGUUUUGGAUGGACGAAUGCUGCUUCAUGCGACUCCAUGUCAAUGGACUAUUUUAUUCAACUCGGGUAUUUAUGAGUGUCUCCUCUGUGCCAGCCACGUGUGAAAGAAGAACUCCAAGUUACUGGACACCAGGACAAACCAGGUAGAUCACUGCAUCCGGUUCCUCCUCUUUCUGCCGACUCUCCCGGGCAACCGUUCUGAUUCCUGGCAUGGAGUUGGGGGCGAGCUCAUCAGUACCCAGAGCGCCUGGUGUGCAGCCAAAGGCCCCCAUUUUAUUAGUCGGUGUGUUCAGUAUCACGCUCAAGACAAGGGCCAACCUAUUACUUCACACACCUCAAAUACAAAAAGUGCCUGGGAACGUCGAUGAGGUAUUAAAGGAAACCACUGGUCUUGUCAGUCAUGUACACACAGAAAAAAAAACCAGUCAUUUUUAUUUUUAUUUUUUGAGACAGAGUUUCGCUCUUGUUGCCCAGGCUGGAGUGCAAUGGUGCAAUUUCAGCUCACUGCAAUCUCUGCCACCCGGAUUCAAGCAAUUCUCCUGUCUCAGCCUCCCGAGUAGCUGGAAUUGCAGACACCCAUCACCACGCCCAGCUAAUUUUAUGUAUUUUUAGUAGAGAUGGGGUUUCACCAUGUUGGUCAGGCUGGUCUUGAACUCCUGACCUCAGGUGAUCCACCCACGUCAGGCUCCCAAAGUGCUGAGAUUACAGGCAUGAACCACUGUGCCCAGCCGAAAACAACCAAGAAUUUUUUAACAAUAAAAUGACCAGCAAGUAAACUUGAAACAAAAAUGGACAAAUAUCUAAAAUAUUUUUAAAUGUAUGUAUUUUAAUUGGCAAAUAAUACUUGUAUAUAUUGUUUACAACUUGUUUUAAAGUAUGAAUACAUUGUGG